RNAcentral lists this ribosomal RNA (494 nucleotides) under uncultured bacterium. RNAcentral's name for it is "partial 16S ribosomal RNA". It matches the Rfam family "Bacterial small subunit ribosomal RNA", at positions 28 to 523 of the family's 1533-position model. The record is from RNAcentral.
GACGAACGCUGGCGGCGUGCUUAACACAUGCAAGUCGAGCGAUGAAAGCCUUAUGAACUAUUCGUAGUGAUUGGGGCCGGAUUAGCGGCGGACGGGUGAGUAACGCGUGAGCAACCUGCCUUAAACAACGGGAUAGCCUCGGGAAACCGGGAUUAAUACCGUAUGAGACCCCGCCUUCACAUGAAGAAGAGGUUAAAGAUUUAUCGGUUUAAGAUGGGCUCGCGUCUGAUUAGCUAGUUGGUGAGAUAAAAGCCCACCAAGGCAACGAUCAGUAACCGGCUUGAGAGAGUGAACGUUCACAUUGGAACUGAGACACGGUCCAAACUCCUACGGGAGGCAGCAGUGAGGAAUAUUGCACAAUGGGGGAAACCCUGAUGCAGCGACGCCGCGUGAGCGAUGAAGGAAUUCGUUUCGUAAAGCUCUGUCCAAGGGGAAGAUAAUGACAGUACCCUUGGAGGAAGCCCCGGCUAAAUACGUGCCAGCCGCCGCGGUAA